UACGGAGGGUGCAAGCGUUGUUCGGAAUUAUUGGGCGUAAAGCGCGUGUAGGUGGAUCGCUAAGUCUGGUGUGAAAUCCCUCGGCUUAACUGAGGACGUGCAUCGGAUACUGGCGACCUUGAGUCCUGGAGAGGAUAGCGGAAUUCCCAGUGUAGAGGUGAAAUUCGUAGAUAUUGGGAGGAACACCGGUGGCGAAGGCGGCUAUCUGGACAGUGACUGACACUGAGACGCGAAAGCACGGGUAGCAAACAGG
This 253-nucleotide ribosomal RNA is filed under the name uncultured bacterium. RNAcentral describes it as "partial 16S ribosomal RNA". It matches the Rfam family "Bacterial small subunit ribosomal RNA", at positions 524 to 776 of the family's 1533-position model. The record is from RNAcentral.